RNAcentral lists this ribosomal RNA (525 nucleotides) under uncultured bacterium. RNAcentral's name for it is "bacterial SSU rRNA". It matches the Rfam family "Bacterial small subunit ribosomal RNA", at positions 384 to 901 of the family's 1533-position model. The record is from RNAcentral.
UGAUCAGCCAUGCCGCGUGAGUGAAGAAGGCCUUCGGGUUGUAAAGCUCUUUCGGCCGGGAAGAAAUCGCACAGGCUAAUACUCUGUGUGGAUGACGGUACCGGCAUAAGAAGCACCGGCUAACUACGUGCCAGCAGCCGCGGUAAUACGUAGGGUGCGAGCGUUAAUCGGAAUUACUGGGCGUAAAGCGUGCGCAGGCGGUUAGAUAAGUUUGAUGUGAAAUCCCCGGGCUCAACCUGGGAACUGCAUUGAAGACUGUCUGACUAGAGUACGGCAGAGGGGGGUGGAAUUCCACGUGUAGCAGUGAAAUGCGUAGAGAUGUGGAGGAAUACCGAUGGCGAAGGCAGCCCCCUGGGUCGAUACUGACGCUCAUGCACGAAAGCGUGGGGAGCAAACAGGAUUAGAUACCCUGGUAGUCCACGCCCUAAACGAUGUCAACUAGUUGUUGGUAGGGUUAAACCUAUUAGUAACGUAGCUAACGCGUGAAGUUGACCGCCUGGGGAGUACGGUCGCAAGAUUAAAACU